RNAcentral lists this ribosomal RNA (367 nucleotides) under Listeria monocytogenes. Its description in RNAcentral is "partial 23S ribosomal RNA". It matches the Rfam family "Bacterial large subunit ribosomal RNA", at positions 590 to 954 of the family's 2925-position model. The record is from RNAcentral. Lineage: Bacteria; Bacillati; Bacillota; Bacilli; Caryophanales; Listeriaceae.
UGGGUGAUAGCGUGCCUUUUGUAGAAUGAACCGGCGAGUUACGAUUUGUUGCAAGGUUAAGCGGAAAAAGCGGAGCCGUAGCGAAAGCGAGUCUGAAUAGGGCGCAUAAGUAACAGGUCGUAGACCCGAAACCAGGUGAUCUACCCAUGUCCAGGAUGAAGGUAAGGUAAUACUUACUGGAGGUCCGAACCCACGCACGUUGAAAAGUGCGGGGAUGAGGUGUGGGUAGCGGAGAAAUUCCAAUCGAACUUGGAGAUAGCUGGUUCUCUCCGAAAUAGCUUUAGGGCUAGCCUCGAGGUAAAGAGUCAUGGAGGUAGAGCACUGUUUGGACUAGGGGCCCUUCUCGGGUUACCGAAUUCAGAUAAAC